This 253-nucleotide ribosomal RNA is filed under the name uncultured bacterium. RNAcentral describes it as "partial 16S ribosomal RNA". It matches the Rfam family "Bacterial small subunit ribosomal RNA", at positions 524 to 776 of the family's 1533-position model. The record is from RNAcentral.
UACAGAGGUCUCAAGCGUUGUUCGGAUUCAUUGGGCGUAAAGGGUGCGUAGGCGGUGAGGCAAGUCAGGUGUGAAAUCCCGGAGCUCAACUCCGGAACUGCACUUGAUACUGCCUUGCUAGAGUACUGGAGAGGAGACUGGAAUUUACGGUGUAGCAGUGAAAUGCGUAGAGAUCGUAAGGAAGACCAGUGGCGAAGGCGAGUCUCUGGACAGUUACUGACGCUGAGGCACGAAGGCCAGGGGAGCAAACGGG